RNAcentral lists this ribosomal RNA (1369 nucleotides) under uncultured bacterium. RNAcentral describes it as "bacterial SSU rRNA". It matches the Rfam family "Bacterial small subunit ribosomal RNA", at positions 28 to 1381 of the family's 1533-position model. The record is from RNAcentral.
GACGAACGCUGGCGGCGUGCCUAAUACAUGCAAGUAGAACGCUGAAGAGAGGAGCUUGCUCUUCUUGGAUGAGUUGCGAACGGGUGAGUAACGCGUAGGUAACCUGCCUGGUAGCGGGGGAUAACUAUUGGAAACGAUAGCUAAUACCGCAUAAAAUUGAUUAUUGCAUGAUAAUUAAUUGAAAGAUGCAACUGCAUCACUACCAGAUGGACCUGCGUUGUAUUAGCUAGUUGGUGAGGUAACGGCUCACCAAGGCGACGAUACAUAGCCGACCUGAGAGGGUGAUCGGCCACACUGGGACUGAGGCACGGCCCAGACUCCUACGGGAGGCAGCAGUAGGGAAUCUUCGGCAAUGGGGGGAACCCUGACCGAGCAACGCCGCGUGAGUGAAGAAGGUUUUCGGAUCGUAAAGCUCUGUUGUAAGAGAAGAACGGGUGUGAGAGUGGAAAGUUCACACUGUGACGGUAUCUUACCAGAAAGGGACGGCUAACUACGUGCCAGCAGCCGCGGUAAUACGUAGGUCCCGAGCGUUGUCCGGAUUUAUUGGGCGUAAAGCGAGCGCAGGCGGUUAGAUAAGUCUGAAGUUAAAGGCUGUGGCUUAACCAUAGUAUGCUUUGGAAACUGUUUAACUUGAGUGCAGAAGGGGAGAGUGGAAUUCCAUGUGUAGCGGUGAAAUGCGUAGAUAUAUGGAGGAACACCGGUGGCGAAAGCGGCUCUCUGGUCUGUAACUGACGCUGAGGCUCGAAAGCGUGGGGAGCAAACAGGAUUAGAUACCCUGGUAGUCCACGCCGUAAACGAUGAGUGCUAGGUGUUAGGCCCUUUCCGGGGCUUAGUGCCGCAGCUAACGCAUUAAGCACUCCGCCUGGGGAGUACGACCGCAAGGUUGAAACUCAAAGGAAUUGACGGGGGCCCGCACAAGCGGUGGAGCAUGUGGUUUAAUUCGAAGCAACGCGAAGAACCUUACCAGGUCUUGACAUCCCUCUGACCGCUCUAGAGAUAGAGUUUUCCUUCGGGACAGAGGUGACAGGUGGUGCAUGGUUGUCGUCAGCUCGUGUCGUGAGAUGUUGGGUUAAGUCCCGCAACGAGCGCAACCCCUAUUGUUAGUUGCCAUCAUUGAGUUGGGCACUCUAGCGAGACUGCCGGUAAUAAACCGGAGGAAGGUGGGGAUGACGUCAAAUCAUCAUGCCCCUUAUGACCUGGGCUACACACGUGCUACAAUGGCUGGUACAACGAGUCGCAAGCCGGUGACGGCAAGCUAAUCUCUGAAAGCCAGUCUCAGUUCGGAUUGUAGGCUGCAACUCGCCUACAUGAAGUCGGAAUCGCUAGUAAUCGCGGAUCAGCACGCCGCGGUGAAUACGUUCCCGGGCCU